UUUGACAGUUAAACAGAUUGAACGCUGGCGGGUAGCACCACCCGCUUAUGCAAGUCAGACAGCACGGACUUCGGUCUGGUGGCGAGUGGCGAACGGGUGAGUAAUCAUAUCCGGAACGUGCUGGUAGCGGGGAUAACUACGCGAAAGCGUAGCUAAUACCGCACGCCCGCUGUCGGGGAAAAGCGAGGGGACCUUCGGGCUGUCGCACUAUUAAACGGCCGAUAUCGGAUUAGCUAGUUGGUGGGGUAACGGCUCACCAAAGGCGACGAUCCGUAGCUGGUUUAGAGGACGACAACUGCGCCGGACUGGUGCUUCAGACUCCUGGGACGCAGCAGUGGGGGUACCUGGACAAUGGAAGCCUGAUCAGCCAUCCCGCGUGCCGAUGAAGGCCGCUGGAUGCUCAAACACUUUUGGCAGGGAAAGAAACGGCACGGGAUAAUACCCCGUGCAGCAGCUGUACCUACGCGGGAAUGGCGCGCAGCCUUUACGUGCAGCAGCCGCGAUGGCCACGUAGGGUGCAAGCGUUAAUCGAUUCUGGGCGUAAACAUUGCGCAGGCGGUUCGGAAAAAGAUGUGAAAUCCCAGAGCUUAACUUUGGAACUGCAUUUUUAACUACCAGCGAAACUAGAGUGUGUCAGAAGGAGGUGGAAUUCGCGUGUAGCAGUGAGAAAUGCAUGUAGAUAUGCGUAUCCUGGGAUGCUGCUGACGCUCAUGCGAAAAGCGUGAGAGCAAACAGGAUUAGAUACCCUGUGUUGUCGCCCUAGACGAUAUUAUUUACUGUUGGGGCCUUCGGGCCUUGGUGGCGCAAUGCUGCGUGAAGUUGACCGCCUGGGGAAGUACGGUCGCAAGAUUGGCUCUAUGGCGAAGGUCAUUGGCGGGGACCCGCACAAGCGGUGGAUGUGGUUCAAUUCGAUGCAACGCGAAAAGCGCACUACCCUUGACAUGUCUGCGGGAAUCGAAGAGAUUUGGGAGUGCUCGCAAGGGAAGACGCCGGAACACAGGUGCUGCAUGGCUGUCGUCAGCUCGUGUCGUGAGAUGUUGGGUAAGUCCCGCAACGAGCGCAACCUUAAUCAUUAGUUGCUACGAAGGGCACUCUAAUGCGAUUCGCGGUGACAAACCGGAGGAGGUGGGGAUGACGUCAAGUCCUCAUGGCCCUUAUGGUGAGACUACGUCAUACAAUGGUCAGGACAGAGGUCGCCAACCCGCGAGACGAUAAAAACCCGAUCUGUGUUAGUCAGAUCUGAUCUGCAACUCGACUGCGUGAAGUCGGAAUCAUGGCGUAAUCACGGAUCAGCAUGUCGCGGUGAAUACGUUCCAGGUCUUGUACACACCGCCAAAAUCACUACCAUGGGAGUGGGUUUUACCAAGUAGUUAGCCUAACCGUAAGGAGGGCGAUUACGGUAGGAUUCAUGACUGGGUUAGUCGUAACAAAGGGUAG
This 1437-nucleotide ribosomal RNA is filed under the name uncultured Bordetella sp. Its description in RNAcentral is "partial 16S-23S ribosomal RNA intergenic spacer". It matches the Rfam family "Bacterial small subunit ribosomal RNA". Lineage: Bacteria; Pseudomonadati; Pseudomonadota; Betaproteobacteria; Burkholderiales; Alcaligenaceae. The record is from RNAcentral.